RNAcentral lists this ribosomal RNA (1536 nucleotides) under Salmonella enterica subsp. enterica serovar Paratyphi A. Its description in RNAcentral is "23S ribosomal RNA". Lineage: Bacteria; Pseudomonadati; Pseudomonadota; Gammaproteobacteria; Enterobacterales; Enterobacteriaceae. The record is from RNAcentral.
AAUCAGUGCUGAAAAUCGUCUCUCAUCCGCCAAAACAUCUUCGGCGUUGUAAGGUUAAGCCUCACGGUUCAUUAGUACCGGUUAGCUCAACGCAUCGCUGCGCUUACACACCCGGCCUAUCAACGUCGUCGUCUUCAACGUUCCUUCAGGAGACCUAAAGUCUCAGGGAGAACUCAUCUCGGGGCAAGUUUCGUGCUUAGAUGCUUUCAGCACUUAUCUCUUCCGCAUUUAGCUACCGGGCAGUGCCAUUGGCAUGACAACCCGAACACCAGUGAUGCGUCCACUCCGGUCCUCUCGUACUAGGAGCAGCCCCCCUCAGUUCUCCAGCGCCCACGGCAGAUAGGGACCGAACUGUCUCACGACGUUCUAAACCCAGCUCGCGUACCACUUUAAAUGGCGAACAGCCAUACCCUUGGGACCUACUUCAGCCCCAGGAUGUGAUGAGCCGACAUCGAGGUGCCAAACACCGCCGUCGAUAUGAACUCUUGGGCGGUAUCAGCCUGUUAUCCCCGGAGUACCUUUUAUCCGUUGAGCGAUGGCCCUUCCAUUCAGAACCACCGGAUCACUAUGACCUGCUUUCGCACCUGCUCGCGCCGUCACGCUCGCAGUCAAGCUGGCUUAUGCCAUUGCACUAACCUCCUGAUGUCCGACCAGGAUUAGCCAACCUUCGUGCUCCUCCGUUACUCUUUAGGAGGAGACCGCCCCAGUCAAACUACCCACCAGACACUGUCCGCAACCCGGGUAACGGGUCCACGUUAGAACAUCAAACAUUAAAGGGUGGUAUUUCAAGGUCGGCUCCAUGCAGACUGGCGUCCACACUUCAAAGCCUCCCACCUAUCCUACACAUCAAGGCUCAAUGUUCAGUGUCAAGCUAUAGUAAAGGUUCACGGGGUCUUUCCGUCUUGCCGCGGGUACACUGCAUCUUCACAGCGAGUUCAAUUUCACUGAGUCUCGGGUGGAGACAGCCUGGCCAUCAUUACGCCAUUCGUGCAGGUCGGAACUUACCCGACAAGGAAUUUCGCUACCUUAGGACCGUUAUAGUUACGGCCGCCGUUUACCGGGGCUUCGAUCAGGAGCUUCGCUUGCGCUGACCCCAUCAAUUAACCUUCCGGCACCGGGCAGGCGUCACACCGUAUACGUCCACUUUCGUGUUUGCACAGUGCUGUGUUUUUAAUAAACAGUUGCAGCCAGCUGGUAUCUUCGACUGACUUCAGCUCCAUGAGUAAAUCACUUCACCUACGUGUCAGCGUGCCUUCUCCCGAAGUUACGGCACCAUUUUGCCUAGUUCCUUCACCCGAGUUCUCUCAAGCGCCUUGGUAUUCUCUACCUGACCACCUGUGUCGGUUUGGGGUACGAUUUGAUGUUACCUGAUGCUUAGAGGCUUUUCCUGGAAGCAGGGCAUUUGUUGCUUCAGCACCGUAGUGCCUCGUCGUCACGCCUCAGUGUUAAAGUGAACCGGAUUUACCUGGAACACACACCUACACGCUUAAACCGGGACAACCGUCGCCCGGCCAACAUAGCCUUCUCCGUCCCCCC